RNAcentral lists this microRNA (22 nucleotides) under Picea abies (Norway spruce). RNAcentral describes it as "pab-miR11462". Lineage: Eukaryota; Viridiplantae; Streptophyta; Pinopsida; Pinales; Pinaceae. The record is from miRBase by way of RNAcentral.
UCUGCCAGAGUGUGGCCGCGGA